Molecule: ribosomal RNA, 248 nt
Filed under: uncultured bacterium
Lineage: Bacteria
Description: partial 16S ribosomal RNA
Rfam family: Bacterial small subunit ribosomal RNA
Source: RNAcentral
UGUCGGCCACAGGCGACGACGGGUAGCCGGCCUGAGAGGGUGACCGGCCACACUGGGACUGAGACACGGCCCAGACUCCUACGGGAGGCAGCAGUGGGGAAUAUUGCGCAAUGGGCGAAAGCCUGAUGCAGCGACGCCGCGUGGGGGAUGAAGGCCUUCGGGUUGUAAACCUCUUUCAGCAGGGACGAAGCGAAAGUGACGGUACCUGCAAAAAAAGGACCGGCCAACUACGUGCAGCAGCCGCGGGG